RNAcentral lists this non-coding RNA (28 nucleotides) under Homo sapiens (human). The record is from RNAcentral. Lineage: Eukaryota; Metazoa; Chordata; Mammalia; Primates; Hominidae.
GAGACAGUCACGGAGGUGCUAAAGUGUC